CAGGGUUUAAAUAUGUCUCUCAGUGCCAUGAUUGGUCAGUACACGGCCUUUGACUCCAAAACGUGCAUGUACGUUGAAAUCGUGAUGUCACACACAUGCCAGCACCAUCUUUAAUGUGGGCAGCAGGGCCAGAUUAAGAGCCCAGUGGGCCUGGUGCUGACAAUUAUGACGGGCCUAAUUACAGAAUCUUAUCGACUAAUAACACUAAAACACUCCCAAGCAUCAUGUAUCUGAUGGAGAUGGUGCUGGAGGGAAAGAAAACAGCAGCUAUAAGAAGACACAUAUCCUAUGCUAAUCUAAUCUCUCUAAUUUAUGUUUUCAUCUUUAAAAUAAAUCCAUAACUCCUAACAGCAGUGUCCAGUCAAGCAGGAAGUCAAUGGGCAUGAUAAAAG
This is a non-coding RNA of Pelobates cultripes (western spadefoot toad), 392 nucleotides long. Lineage: Eukaryota; Metazoa; Chordata; Amphibia; Anura; Pelobatidae. The record is from the annotation of a GenBank genome assembly.